AAGUGAAUGAAAUGCAUAAUAAAAGAAUAUUUAUGAAAACAAAGAAUUCAUAAACUAAUUAAAUUAUAUCUAAGAUAAAUAGAAAUAAGUGGCAAGUAACAAAUUAACCCGCCUUUGAAAUUGAAUAAAAUUAAUAAUAGUGAUAUUUAUCGGUAAAUUUAAUUUAUUCGUAAAAAAUAAUGGAAUCUAUUACAUUCUAUAUUUUCAAAUUGAAAAUUAAACGCCGACAUAACGAAGCAUAACAAUAGAUAGUAUAUAACCACAUAAAUCACAAAAACAAGACUUCAUAUGUAUGAGAAAAUAUUAUUCUUUAUUUUUAAUCGCUGUCGAAUACCCAUCGGACAAAUUGCAAGGAAUUUAUAGGGGUUCAUAAAAAAAAAUAUUUUCAAUUUAUCUUUUAUGUAAAAUCUGGAUUGUUCUAUUAUUUCGAUUAUAUCACUUGUUCGUAUAUUAUGAUUACGACUGUAUUGCAUUAUAUUGCGUCUCAUAAUUACACGCUACCGACACGCGAGAUAGUUCCUAUAAUUAUCGAUUGGCACGAGUGCGACACGCGGAGAGAUUGAAGGAAACAUGCGUUCCCUUAAAAGAAUCAUAUUUUAUUUUAGUUCAUAGCUUUACGUAUCAGCCAAUUCGAAUAAUGUAUCGAACUGCAUCGAGUUUCCGCGGUUAGAAUAGGAUUACUAACUUCGCAAAAUGAACGUAUAAUGUAAAAUUCAAGCAGCUGAACGGAUAUACUUAUUCAAAUAUAUUUAACCUCGUUGCAUUGUAAUGAAUUCGCGACAAUGAAUUCGCGAUAAUGAAUUCGCGCAGUAGUCAUUUAACGGAAGUCAUCAUAGUUCUCCGAGACUGACAUCUCAAUCACUCGAUAAAACCCAUAAAAAAUUCAAAUUCUACAGGAUGAGAACGAACUAUAGUUGUGCUGCGCUAUAAUUUACACAAAUUGGACUACGUACUUGUUCUCUAAGUGAUAACAUACAAGAUGAAUUUUUACACUUGUUUUUUUCUUAAUAAAGUGAAAGUGAUCAAAACAUGAUAUAUAGAUAAUACGAAAGGAAAAUAUUUGCUUAAAACUACGUGAUUCUUGAAAACAUAUAAAUCUUACUUCAUCCAAUUUUCCAUCCAACGAAUAACUUUAUAUCAUUAGAUAUUAAAACCUUCUAUCUCUUCCACAGCUUUUUACAUCAAAAUUCAGGCCGGAGCUAUUAUAAAUUUCCCCAAUGAUGUAAAUAGUAUCUCAAGCAAAAUUGCUCGACCUUGAUAUUUGCUAUGCGCGUUAUCCUCAUUUUUUCAUCAGAAAUUCGUUAACAAUGUAAUCAACACAUAACAAAAGACAUUUUCGCAGCGAUCUGUUAUAGAUAUUCAUUCGACAAUGUGCAACCGUGUUCGUCGUAACAAUUACUGUCGAUUAAUAGCAACGUUUCUCCAUAAUAUCGUUUCCAUCCGACGAAAAUAUCUUCACGGGCACGUUAUCGUCGUGUAUUAUUGAAGGCGUAAAAGAUCGACGUAACUUGCAAAAAUGAAGAUUCGUAAACAGACGAUGUUAUGUCUUUUGGUAUCUUUUGUUUCAAACGUUUGCUAACGUCUCGUAAUAUACAAUUUAACUUCGAAACUUUUCAGUAAAUAUUUUUAACUAGACCUUUCGAAAAUUAAAAGUUUACGAUCUAUUGCUAAUAAUAAUGAAAUAACGAUGAAAAUGAAUGGUGUUAAAAAACAUUCUCUAGCAAAUUUCACCCCGAAAUAUAUUACAUUUAAAUGUCAAAUUUUCGGGUGACCUAUUAUUUCGUCCACUCGAUGAAAAUUGUGUAAGAAGAAAAGUGUAAAAAAAAAGCACCUACCUUGCUGGAUAGAAGACCAGCAGUCGGUGUACGAUCGUUAGGAUCGGACUCCGGGAUCGGUUCAUUCGGGUUCUCCAUGUGCAUACCUGGCCAUCCAACCCA
This is a long non-coding RNA of Bombus huntii, 1937 nucleotides long. RefSeq lists it as uncharacterized. Lineage: Eukaryota; Metazoa; Arthropoda; Insecta; Hymenoptera; Apidae. The transcript is spliced from 2 exons. The record is from RefSeq and is a predicted model, not a curated record.